This 437-nucleotide ribosomal RNA is filed under the name fungal yeast sp. Urf721. RNAcentral's name for it is "eukaryotic LSU rRNA". It matches the Rfam family "Eukaryotic large subunit ribosomal RNA", at positions 159 to 599 of the family's 3401-position model. The record is from RNAcentral. Lineage: Eukaryota; Fungi.
AACUUUGGAGCAUGGAUCUAGUCAUAUGUUCCUGGGAACAGGACGUCACAGAGGGUGAGAAUCCCCUGGAAUGAGAUGCCCACUUAUAUGUAAAUUGCUUUUGAAGCCUUGACUUGUUUGCGAAUGCAGCUAUAAGUGGGUGGUAAAUUCCAUCUUAAGUUAAUAUAUCGGCGAGAGACCGAUAGCGAACAAGUUCAGUGAUGGAAAGAUGAAAAGAACUUUGAAAAGCCAGUGAAAAAGUACGUGAAUUUGUUGAAAGGGAAGGGCUUGAGAUCCGACUUGGUAUUAUGCGAUCCUUUCCUUGCUGGUUGGGUUCCUCGCAGCUUACUGGGCCAGCCUCGGUUUGGAUGGUAGGAUAAUGAUUAAGGAAUGCGGUUUUAAUUCGGCGGAUUGUUGUAGCCUUGGUUCAUAGCUGCCUGUCUAGACCGAGGACCGCG